CGGGCAGUAGCUCAGUGGUAGGGCUCUCGCUUCGCAUGCAAGUAAACCUGGGUUGGAUUCCCGGCUGCUUAC
RNAcentral lists this transfer RNA (72 nucleotides) under Toxocara canis (dog roundworm). It matches the Rfam family "tRNA". From Rfam's summary of the family: Transfer RNA (tRNA) molecules are approximately 80 nucleotides in length. Their secondary structure includes four short double-helical elements and three loops (D, anti-codon, and T loops). The record is from Rfam by way of RNAcentral. Lineage: Eukaryota; Metazoa; Nematoda; Chromadorea; Rhabditida; Toxocaridae.